This 1262-nucleotide long non-coding RNA is filed under the name Sphaeramia orbicularis (orbiculate cardinalfish). RNAcentral's name for it is "lncRNA (ENSSORG00005016333.1)". The record is from RNAcentral. Lineage: Eukaryota; Metazoa; Chordata; Actinopteri; Kurtiformes; Apogonidae.
UCAUCCAUUCCAUUCUUCUUUGGUCAAACUCUUCUUUAUGUUUUUUUCUUUGGACCCAGAGCGGGAAUUGGACGAGUACAGCUACUACUCCAACAAGCGCCGCUCCGCCAACGCCCCGCCCUCCUUCCACUCGUCCCAGCACCACCUGCCCUGGGGUGGCGACUACACCCUGGGCUCCAGGGGCACGCUGCCCCUCCACGGCUCCAGGCCCCGCCUCCACAUCCCAGCCUCCACCCCCAACCCAUACCCGCUGCCCGGCCAGCCGGCCUACGCCAGCUCCACCUUUGACAGGCCGCCACGCCGCGUCCGCUCCCAGGACCAGCUGUUGGCCAUUACCGACGGCAACACCUUGUCCCGCCUCCCCAAGAACCAGCAGCAGCAGUACUACAAAGCCAUGAUGAGCACCAGCAGGAGCGUCAACGCACAGACGCUCCGCAGGUCCCAUGAGAGGCUCCUGGUGUCACCGGACCGCCUGGAGGACCGGCUGCUGACCGUGGGCCUGAUGGCGGGCGGGGCUGAGCGGGGGACGGCAGGCGGCGCCCUGCCCGCCAUGGGCCGGCUCGGCCACCACCAGAAGGCCCAGUCGCAGCAGAACAUCUGCGUCACGCCGUCCAUGGACCGACAUCACAUGAUCAAGAUGAACUCCCACCCCACGCCGGGACACGAGCACGAGCGUGGAGCCGGGAUGGGCGCGCAUGGCGGCUGGGACCACGGGGGCGGAGCAGGGUCCACGGGCCACCCCAACGCCCGGCGGAUGGCGUUCGCCAGUAAGAGGCAGAACACCAUCGAGCAGCUGCACUUCAUCCCCGGCGUGGGCGUGGCCGGUGGCCAAGGACUGCGGACUGGGAGUAAGAACGAGGUGACGGUGUGAGACGGAGAAAGAGGAGGAGGAGGAGGAGGAUGGUGAAGAAAGGGAUUAUGGGAAGGCACGGUGACAGGAACACAGAAGAGGCCUGACAGCACUGCAGUUACCAUGACGACCAGCAAGCCCCUCCCCCUUCACAACCAAACAUGGUGGAUCAUACCUUUAAGCUGACCUCAGGGUUCCCAUGGAAACGGAAAAGGAGGAAAAAGAACGGAAAAAAGGAGGGGAAAAGAACAGAAAAGGAGGGGAAAAGAGCAGAAAAGAAUGGAAAAAAUGAGGGAAAAGAAUGGAAAAGGAGGAAAAAGAACGGAAAAAGAACGGAAAAGGAGGGAAAAGGAGGGAAAAGAAUGGAAAAAAGGAGGGAAGAGAAUGGAAUAAAGGAGGGAAAAGAACGGAG